This 624-nucleotide ribosomal RNA is filed under the name uncultured bacterium. RNAcentral's name for it is "bacterial SSU rRNA". It matches the Rfam family "Bacterial small subunit ribosomal RNA", at positions 149 to 789 of the family's 1533-position model. The record is from RNAcentral.
GUUGGAAACGGCUGCUAAUACCGCAUAAGCGCACAGUACCGCAUGGUACAGUGUGAAAAACUCCGGUGGUGUGAGAUGGACCCGCGUCUGAUUAGCUAGUUGGCAGGGCAACGGCCUACCAAGGCGACGAUCAGUAGCCGACCUGAGAGGGUGACCGGCCACAUUGGGACUGAGACACGGCCCAAACUCCUACGGGAGGCAGCAGUGGGGAAUAUUGCACAAUGGGGGAAACCCUGAUGCAGCGACGCCGCGUGAGCGAAGAAGUAUUUCGGUAUGUAAAGCUCUAUCAGCAGGGAAGAAGAAAUGACGGUACCUGACUAAGAAGCACCGGCUAAAUACGUGCCAGCAGCCGCGGUAAUACGUAUGGUGCAAGCGUUAUCCGGAUUUACUGGGUGUAAAGGGAGCGCAGGCGGAAGGCUAAGUCUGAUGUGAAAGCCCGGGGCUCAACCCCGGUACUGCAUUGGAAACUGGUCAUCUAGAGUGUCGGAGGGGUAAGUGGAAUUCCUAGUGUAGCGGUGAAAUGCGUAGAUAUUAGGAGGAACACCAGUGGCGAAGGCGGCUUACUGGACGAUAACUGACGCUGAGGCUCGAAAGCGUGGGGAGCAAACAGGAUUAGAUACCCUG